UACGUAGGGUGCGAGCGUUGUCCGGAAUUAUUGGGCGUAAAGAGCUCGUAGGCGGUGUGUCGCGUCGGCCGUGAAAACCUGGGGCUCAACUCUGGGCGUGCGGUCGAUACGGGCAUCACUGGAGUUCGGCAGGGGAGACUGGAAUUCCUGGUGUAGCGGUGAAAUGCGCAGAUAUCAGGAGGAACACCGGUGGCGAAGGCGGGUCUCUGGGCCGAUACUGUCGCUGAGGAGCGAAAGCAUGGGUAGCGAACAGG
RNAcentral lists this ribosomal RNA (254 nucleotides) under uncultured bacterium. RNAcentral's name for it is "partial 16S ribosomal RNA". It matches the Rfam family "Bacterial small subunit ribosomal RNA", at positions 524 to 776 of the family's 1533-position model. The record is from RNAcentral.